Molecule: ribosomal RNA, 389 nt
Filed under: uncultured bacterium
Lineage: Bacteria
Description: bacterial SSU rRNA
Rfam family: Bacterial small subunit ribosomal RNA
Source: RNAcentral
UGGGGAAUAUUGCACAAUGGGCGAAAGCCUGAUGCAGCAACGCCGCGUGAGUGAUGACGGUCUUCGGAUUGUAAAGCUCUGUCUUUGGGGACGAUAAUGACGGUACCCAAGGAGGAAGCCACGGCUAACUACGUGCCAGCAGCCGCGGUAAUACGUAGGUGGCAAGCGUUGUCCGGAUUUACUGGGCGUAAAGGGUGCGUAGGCGGACCUUUAAGUGAGAUGUGAAAUCCGCGAGCUUAACUUGGGGGCUGCAUUUCAAACUGGAGGGCUAGAGUGCAGGAGAGGAGAGUGGAAUUCCUAGUGUAGCGGUGAAAUGCGUAGGGAGUAGGAAGAACACCAGUGGCGAAGGCGGGUCUCGGGACUGUAGCUUACGCUGAGGCACGAAAGCG